RNAcentral lists this ribosomal RNA (1509 nucleotides) under metagenome. RNAcentral describes it as "bacterial LSU rRNA". It matches the Rfam family "Bacterial large subunit ribosomal RNA", at positions 1360 to 2848 of the family's 2925-position model. The record is from RNAcentral.
AAACGUUAAUCGGGGCUGGGUGAGUCGACCCCUAAGGCGAGGCCGAGAGGCGUAGUCGAUGGGAAAUUGGUUAAUAUUCCAAUACUUCAGUGUAAUGCGAUGAGAGGACGGAGAAGGUUAAGUCAGCCUGGCGUUGGUUGUCCAGGUGAAAGGAAGUAGGCAUGCAUCUUAGGCAAAUCCGGGGUGCUCUAUGCUGAGAUCUGAUAGCAAGCUGUACUUGUACAGUGAAGUGGCUGAUACCCUGCUUCCAGGAAAAGUCUCUAAGCUUCAGUUACACUGGAAUCGUACCCGAAACCGACACAGGUGGUCAGGUCGAGUAGACCAAAGCGCUUGAGAGAACUCUGCUGAAGGAACUAGGCAAAAUGGUACCGUAACUUCGGGAGAAGGUACGCUGUUGAUGGUGAUAGGACUCGCUCCUUGAGCUGUCGACAGCCUCAGAAACCAGGCCGCUGCAACUGUUUAUUAAAAACAUAGCACUCUGCAAACACGAAAGUGGACGUAUAGGGUGUGAUGCCUGCCCGGUGCUGGAAGGUUAAUUGAUGGGGUUAGCGUAAGCGAAGCUCUUGAUCGAAGCCCCAGUAAACGGCGGCCGUAACAAUAACGGUCCUAAGGUAGCGAAAUUCCUUGUCGGGUAAGUUCCGACCUGCACGAAUGGCAUAAUGAUGGCGGCGCUGUCUCCAGCAGAGGCUCAGUGAAAUCGAAUUCGCCGUGAAGAUGCGGUGUACCCGCGGCUAGACGGAAAGACCCCGUGAACCUUUACUGCAGCUUGACAUUGAACUUUGACCUUACUUGUGUAGGAUAGGUGGGAGGCUUUGAAACUUGGACGCUAGUCCGAGUGGAGCCGUCCUUGAAAUACCACCCUGGUAAUGUUGAGGUUCUAACUCUGUCCCGUUAUCCGGGACGAGGACCAUGUCUGGUGGGUAGUUUGACUGGGGCGGUCUCCUCCUAAAGAGUAACGGAGGAGUACGAAGGUGCGCUCAGCGUGGUCGGAAAUCACGCGUAGAGUAUAAAGGCAAAAGCGCGCUUAACUGCGAGACCCACAAGUCGAGCAGGUACGAAAGUAGGUCUUAGUGAUCCGGUGGUUCUGUAUGGAAGGGCCAUCGCUCAACGGAUAAAAGGUACUCUGAGGAUAACAGGCUGAUACCGCCCAAGAGUUCAUAUCGACGGCGGUGUUUGGCACCUCGAUGUCGGCUCAUCUCAUCCUGGGGCUGAAGCAGGUCCCAAGGGUAUGGCUGUUCGCCAUUUAAAGAGGUACGCGAGCUGGGUUUAGAACGUCGUGAGACAGUUCGGUCCCUAUCUACCGUGGGCGCUGGAAAUUUGAGAGGAUCUGCUCCUAGUACGAGAGGACCAGAGUGGACGAACCUCUGGUGUACCGGUUGUGACGCCAGUCGCAUCGCCGGGUAGCUAUGUUCGGAAGGGAUAACCGCUGAAAGCAUCUAAGCGGGAAGCCUACCUCAAGAUAAGAUUUCCCCGAGGCUUUAUGCCUCCUAAAGAGCCGUUGAAGACUAC